RNAcentral lists this long non-coding RNA (7115 nucleotides) under Lactuca sativa (garden lettuce). RNAcentral's name for it is "long non-coding RNA (LSAT_LNC004045)". Lineage: Eukaryota; Viridiplantae; Streptophyta; Magnoliopsida; Asterales; Asteraceae. The record is from RNAcentral.
AUUUUUAAUAGGCCGGGCCUCCUAAAGUUCGUUAAAAAUUCAUAGGUUCUUUAUUCGACGUCGGUUUUCGUUUGUCUUUUUAUUGUUUUAUUACUACUGAGGAGAUCUUCAACUUUCGUUUAGGUUGCGUUAGCUAAAUAACACUCGAUCUUCAAUCCGAGUUUUUAGCCCUCUACUACUGUUACGAAACUUUGAAAAUUCGUAACUUCUUCAUACGAGGUCCAAUUUGGGCGAUCUUUUUAUGCACGUUCACCUUUCAACGAGAUCUACGACUUUUGUUUAGAUACUUAAGGCUUAAAAUGCAUUUUAUUGAGAUUCUACUUUUUACGUCAAAUAAUGUUUUAACGUCGCGUCGUAAAUAUACGAGUGGUUAUAAUUUCUUCAAUAUAACCCGGUUUUGAGCGUUCUUUAUGUUUUUGGAAACCUUGGCAUGAUAUCUAAUAUUCGAUGCAUCCCAACUUAGAUACUUGAACACUUUAUUUUCGAGGUUAAUUUCGUUGUUUUUAGCUUUCGAGUGUUUACAAUGCUUUUUGGGAAAAAUAGGGUUGUCACAUCAUCCCCCUGUUAAGGGAAUUUCGUCCCGAAAUUUAAUCUAAGAUAGAGUUUACAGUUUUAGGAAAAAGAUGCGGGUACUUUUGUUUCAUCUGAUCUUCGCGUUCCCAGGUGUAUUCAGGUCCUCGCUUGGCGUUCCAGCGGACCUUUACAAUGGGUAUGCGGCUUUGUUUAGUCCUUUUGAUUUCCCGAUCCAUGAUCUCUACUGGUUCCUCCACAAAUUGGAGGUUUUCAUUUAUUGCAAUUUCGUCUAGAGGGACGACAAGGGUCUCGUCGGAUAAGCACUUCUUCAGAUUCGAUACGUGAAAGGUAGGGUGUACGUUGUGGAGUUCCUGAGGUAGUCUAAGUUUGUAAGCCACUGGACCGAUCCUGGCAAGGAUCUCGAAUGGUCCGAUGUAUCUAGGGUUCAGUUUUCCACGUUUUCCGAAGCGUAUUAAACCUUUCCAAGGUGAGACUUUGAGUAGGACAUGGUCUCCAACUUGGAAUUCCAAGGGUUUGCGUCUCUUAUCUGCGUAACUCUUUUGUCUAUCCCUUGAUGCUUUUAGACGUUCUCGGAUUUGAACAAUCUUCUCCGUAGUCUCCCUUAUGAUUUCUGGUCCAGUGAGCGUGUUGUCAGUUGCUUGUCCUUUUGCUAGUUGCGUGUCCCCCACUUCGGCCCAGCACAAAGGUGACCUGCAUUUGCGGCCAUAGAGGGCUUCGAACGGGGCAGCCUUGAUACUGGUGUGGUAGCUAUUGUUGUACGAGAACUCGACCAAUGGUAGAUGUGUGUCCCAUGCUUUGCCAAAAUCGAUUACGCAAGCUCUCAGCAUGUCUUCUAGGGUUUGUAUAGUUCUCUCGCUCUGGCCGUCGGUUUGUGGGUGAUAAGCGGUACUCAUGUCUAGUCUUGUCCCCAAAGCUUUUUGUAGCGACUGCCAGAACCUUGAGGUGAAUCUACUAUCUCGGUCCGAGAUAAUGGAUAUGGGCACACCAUGCAGUCGUACAAUUUCUCUGAGGUAUGUCCUUGUUAACUUCUCCAAUUUAUCCGUCUCUUUGAUCGGUAGGAAAUGCGCUGACUUAGUUAACCUGUCGACAAUUACCCAAAUGGUGUCGAGUCCGCUUGUUGUCUUGGGUAAUUUUGUUAUGAAAUCCAUGGUUAUCCGCUCCCACUUCCAUUCGGGUAUUUCUGGUUGUUGUAAUAAACCCGAGGGCUUCUGAUAUUCCACCUUGACUUUGGCACAUGUCAGGCAUUUGCUCACGUAGGUAGCAAUUUCGGCUUUCAUGUUUUGCCACCAGUACAACUUCUUGAGAUCGAGAUACAUCUUAUCGGAGCCGGGAUGUAUGGAGUAUCGUGUUUUAUGGGCUUCGUCCAUAACGAUUUCUCUGAAUCCACCAAACUUCGGUAUCCAAAUUCGAUCCAUGAAAUAACGAAUUCCGUUGUUCUUGGUCUCAAGGUUCUUAUCCAUUCCCCUUAGGGCUUCUCCUGUCACAUUUUCGGAUUUCAAGGCUUCUAUUUGGGCUUCCUUGAUUUGCGUGAACAGGUGUGAAUGGAUCGUCAUAGUUAGGGAUUUUACUCGGCGACCUGAGUACUCCUUCCGACUGAGUGCAUCAGCCACUACAUUAGCUUUUCCAGGGUGAUAUCGAAUUUCGCACUCGUAAUCACUUAGUAGUUCUACCCAUCGUCUCUGUCUCAUGUUGAGUUCCUUCUGAUUGAGGAUAUGUUGGAGGCUUUUAUGAUCAGUGAAGAUGGUACAUUUUGUGCCGUAGAGAUAGUGUCUCCAUAUCUUCAGAGCGAAGACGACUGCUCCUAGCUCAAGAUCAUGCGUUGUGUAGUUCACUUCGUGCGUCUUUAGUUGUCUUGAGGCGUAGGCGAUGACCUUCCCUCUUUGCAUCAAGACACAUCCAAGAACUUGGUUUGAUGCAUCACAAUAGACCACGAAGUCCUCCGUUCCUUNNNNNNNNNNNNNNNNNNNNNNNNNNNNNNNNNNNNNNNNNNNNNNNNNNNNNNNNNNNNNNNNNNNNNNNNNNNNNNNNNNNNNNNNNNNNNNNNNNNNCCAUAACACGCCCGGCUUACUCCAGUGCCAGAAACUUGAGUGAUUAGUCGUGCCGGUGCUUUACAGAAAUAGGCUGUGUGCCCUUUCCUGUUGCAGUUUUUGCAGUGCAUCUCGCGACAAAUACCAUGGUGAUGGUAGUUGCACUUGCUGCACUUGGGCAGAAUUCCCGCAUAUGGUUUUGUUGGCGCAGAGGUAGCAGGAGUUGUGGUGGGGGUAGUAGCAGCAUGAACCGCAACCAUUUGCUUCUUUGAAGGUUCUUGCGAAGUUUGUCCCUUCCUUUUGUUCCAAAGUUUCUUCUUGUUGUUGUUGUUGGCAUUGAUUUCAUUGUUGUUGUUCCCUUUGGUUGGUUCAGCCAUGAUAGCCGCGACUCCUUGACAGACACCAUGAUCAACAAGUGAUUGCGCUAGUUCCUUGGCGCUGGCGAAAGUCAAGGGUCUGGAAGCUAGCACACUUCCACGAAGUUGGGGUGAUAGUCCCCAGAUGUAUCUCUCGACCUUUUGGCUCUCCAGGGUUAACAUGCCUGGGCAAAGCGUUAUUAAGUCACUGAACCUGUUGGUGUAACCAGCUAUGUCCGAACCUACCAUCGAGAGGUUCCACAAUUCCUGUUCAAGCUUCUGAAUCUCGCCUCUUGGGCAGUAUUCUCGAAGGAGCAUUCUUUUCAGGUUUUCCCAACCCAUGGAGUUUGCCACCACCAGGGUUAGUGUCUGGACGUGGCCGUUCCACCAUGUCAGGGCGCGUUCAGAGAAAGUAAAAGCGGCGAACUUUACUUUGCUUUCUUCAGGACAUGCACAGAUUUCGAAUACAGCUUCUGUUUUCUCUAUCCAUUGAGAUAGAGCCAAUACUCCCCCAGUCCCGUAAAAGGGAAUAGGUUUUCCGUUGGUGAAGUCUUUGUAAGUGCAUACCCCUGAACGGCUUUGACCUUGGCCAUUUGUAAAACUGUUUGUUCCUCCCCCCGAUCCGUUGUUGCUCAUUUGUGCCAUUGCUGCAGUUACAGCAGCGGUUACAGCAGUCUGGAACAUAACGGUGUCCAUAAUUGGAGGAGGUGGUGGAGGUGGUGUUGAAGUUGAGUUUCUGCGUGUUGAUCUACGAGGAGGCAUGUUCUGGUAGAGAAAAAUAAGAAUGAAUACUAUAAGUUUCUAAUGUUUUGACAAUCGUGUGUUAGUUGUAAUUUGUUUUGACUUUAGUUUAUGGUUUCAAGGUAGGCAUAGAAAUUUAAAACUCGUAAUUUUUGAGAGGUAUAUAAUAAGAAAUACUUCAUAUUUAUACAUAUAGGUCACACCUGAGGUGUGUUACAUUGCAUAUCUUGUUCGGGAAAAUUUGAUCCUCCUAGAGAUCUCCGAUUACGGAUACAACAGGGAAAACAAGGGAAAUAAAGGAAAAACUUUUAUCCGAAAUCCUAAUCUAUAACAAAAUUGUUGGGGCUUGAACAAGUUCUACUUGCGGCGUUUGGAGCUAGAUUCGGCAUCCGACCGUUUGACUCCCAUCAGUCGCCUCUCAAGAUCUGCUUGUUGUUCCUUCAUCUCUCUUAUAUCUGCCAGAGCCGUUAUCAUUUGGUUCUGAAGUGUCCCCGUGUAGAUUUGGGUAUUCUCAUGUAGUCCUUCCAAACGGCGGAUGUCAGCGGCGUUACCUUGGGUAGCAGCAUUGACCUCGCGAACUCUGGUUGCUUGCCUGUCCGUCUCGUAGUUCUGGGUAGCUAUAGCGUUCACAAUAACAGGAAGUGCUCGAUCAGCUGAGCUUCCCCCACUGACAUUGUAAAAAUCUCGGCACAUGCCGAAAGGAGGGCGUACACCUUGUUGGCGGCUCCAGUAGUAGAGGUGACUUCCCCACAUGGGAAUGGGUCCCGGUUGAUAUGGUCUGAUUUCGGGAGGAUGAGGGAUGGGAGGGUCGUACACUUCUGGCUCGGAGUCUGUCCCGCUAGAAAUCUCCUCGAUCUCUUCGUCGACUUCGAAUUCCUCUCCGACUUCGACUUCGAAUUCUCCCUCGAUAACCCCUUCGGGUUCUUCCUCGACCUCUUCUUCGAUUUCCUCUGGGUCUUCCUCCGGGUCUUCUUCUAUCCAACCGCCGUUGCCUUGGUUUGGGUAGUAGGGAUCUCCUGGUAAAUGGAAUCCGGCCAUUUGUCUGUACUAGGAUGGAUGUAUGAGAACUUUAUAAGAAAAGAAAAUUCUAUUUAACGACUUACUAUUUUUAACUAUAAUUUGUACAACUAUUUUUAAUAAUACUCCUAUAAUAUUUCAACUUGGCGAAACUAAAAUAAUUUGUAUUUGGUAAGUUCUUGGCUUGUUGUCCACUAUGACCAUUCCUCGACGUACGUUGGUCAAAUCCAGGAUAAAUAUAGUUGAUCAGGCUAUAUUUAUUCUCGACCUGAUUACAUACCCCGAGGCUCAAUCGUAGUGUCGUAACUUGCCUUAAUACUUUUUAGUAAAACUUGUUAUGAUACGAGAUUAAUGCAUGCUUUUAAAAAUGUAUAUCUUUAAAAGAAAGUAUUUUGUUCAUGAAAAUGUUUCAUCAAAGGGUCUUUGGUCCCCUUUGUAUUUAUAACUUGUAUAUCGUAUGUGGUUCGAUAUACUUAGUUCACUAUAAACAAUGCUCUGAUACCAAUCUGUCACACCCCCAAACCAGAAUGGCGGAAACAUUCGGGGGUGGAUGACUUCACGUAGUAUCACAACCAUUGAAUAUUGUAAAGAAAGUAACACAACCAUCACAUAUAUAAUGAAAACGUAUGUUGUUGCGUUAUACAUAAUAGCAAAAGAAUAUUACAAUGAGAUGAUAAAUGUUCCAUAAUAAAACAUCCUUAGUGUUCCUUUCUCCAAAAGCUGGUGGUUACCUGUAUUACUGAUUCCCUGAGAAAUACAAGUGGUUUCGAAAAAGUGUCAACAAUUAAGUUGUUGAGUUCAUAAGCGUUUUGUAUUGAAAAAGUAUGUCCUCUUUGAUAGUAAACCGAUGAACGAGGUUUUCAGAAAAUCCAAUAUUUUCUAUAAAUGAUUUGAAAAGUUUCCCGUGUUGGAGUGCGUUUGUGUUUUCCAUACUUGAAUAAUAUUGAUAAAAUUUGUAUUAACGAUAAAAUGGAAAGCUGAAAUGCAUAUAUGAAUCUCGUAAAUCUAACUUGUUUUUAUACUUUUAUGUGAGUUUUAUAACCAUGCUAAUGACAUUGUUGGCCUGUAACAACGUUCUUCAGGCGUUGGAACUGUUAUGACAUUUGUCACCCCAGGCCUGCCGGCCUAGCUGUAGCUAACAGCUUAGGUGUGGGAUUGUCAAUCCCGUAUAGAUCUAUACACAAGUAUCACGCUCCCCCUACAAGGGAUUAUGGUAUAUAAUACAGGACUUAAUAAUGCAUACUCGAACGUACGUGAAGCUGUCUCACAUUACUAGGUAUAAACAGAUUUACGAUGAUAAAAGACUGUACUUCUUUUGAAAGCAUUUCAUUUGUCGAGAUGUAUAUGUAAAAUGUAUGAAUCACUUGAAUACUAUGCUCAUUAUAGUUUGUCAAAAGUAUGUUCCCAUUUGGUAAUAACAACUUGGUGAUAUAAUAUCCCUUUAAAACAUAAAGUUAUUUUUGUAUCAACACUCUAUAAGAACGAUAUUAUAAAAAUAAUACUUUGAUUUGUAAUGUACUUGUAUUUCCCCCCCUAAAACGUGAAAAGAAUUGAAAAGUAGGGGUAUGAACUCACUCGUUUCGAAGAGAGAGGCUAGGGUUGAGCAGAACUUCGUCCGCGGAUGGUUGCGUCGUCGGGCUCUUCGGGGAUCUCUGCAGCGUAAAUCUUUCGUCGGGGGCUCGAGUGCGGAAACCGAGGUGAGGGAAUGGUCUCUGGUGCUUGGAAGGGUGUGAGAGUGACUGAAGAAUUGAGAAAGGUGUGCAAAGACUCGAGCUCAUGCCUUCUAUUUAUAGGGCUGGAAACCCUCGUACGCGGCGCGUACUUCCGGAGUACGCUGGGCGUACUCGGUACGCGGGGCGUUCUUGGUUACGCGGGGCGUAGAAUGGCGUCAUGGCUUACGACUCGGGUCUAGCUAAACGUAGCUUGGGCGGGCCGAUGGGACUCGACUCUGGGUCUAGUACGCGGGGCGUACUCCCAGAGUACGCGGGGCGUAAUCCCUGCUUCCGACUUCUAAAUUCCGUAACUUUCGCGUACGAUCUCCGUUUUUCGCGUUCUUUAUAUCCACGCGUAGGUGAGAUUAUGCUCUACAACUUUCCUUUAGACUCCGUCGGCUAGUUUUGACUUUAUUUUUAAUGAUAUAUUUUUAAUAGGCCGGGCCUCCUAAAGUUCGUUAAAAAUUCAUAGGUUCUUUAUUCGACGUCGGUUUUCGUUUGUCUUUUUAUUGUUUUGUUACUACUGAGGAGAUCUUCAACUUCCGUUUAGGUGGCGAUAGCUAAAUAACACUCGAUCUUCAAUCCGAGUUUUUAGUCCUCUACUACUGUUACGAAACUUUGAAAAUUCGUAACUUCUUCAUACGAGGUCCAAUUUGGGCGAUCUUUUUAUGUACGCUCACCUUUCAACGAGAUCUACGACUUCGGUUUAGAUACUUAAGGCCAAAAUG